GAUGAAGAACGCAGCGAAAUGCGAUAGGUAGUGUGAAUUGCAGAUGUAACGUGAAUCAUCGAAUCUUUGAACGCAAAUUGCACUCUCUGGUAUUCCGGGGAGUAUGCCUGUUUGAGGGUCGCCAAAUCAACAUCGAAAUUCAUUUGCUUUUUUGUAAAUGUUUAUCGGAUUUGAGCCGUCCUUUUUAUUUUAAUUAAAGUGGCUUAAAAUGUAAUUUUUUUGGUAUCGAAAAACGUUAUUUUACGAUCAAAUUGAUUAAAAAAACAAACGUUUUCGAAUGCCGCCUUUUUAAUGUAAUACGUUUGACUGUGAUGGUUAAUCAUAGUUUCAUUCGUAUACGAUUUUUUAAUUUUUGACCUCAAAUCAGGUAAGAACACCCGCUGAACUUAAGCAUAUCAAUAAGCGGAGGA
RNAcentral lists this unclassified non-coding RNA (410 nucleotides) under soil metagenome. RNAcentral's name for it is "partial contains 5.8S ribosomal RNA, internal transcribed spacer 2, and large subunit ribosomal RNA". The stretch from base 1 to 121 matches the Rfam family "5.8S ribosomal RNA", at positions 35 to 154 of the family's 154-position model. The record is from RNAcentral.